RNAcentral lists this non-coding RNA (92 nucleotides) under uncultured Acutalibacter sp. Its description in RNAcentral is "NiCo riboswitch". It matches the Rfam family "NiCo (Nickel/Cobalt) riboswitch aptamer". The record is from RNAcentral. Lineage: Bacteria; Bacillati; Bacillota; Clostridia; Eubacteriales; Acutalibacteraceae.
CAGUACAAACUGAGCAGGCGAUGUCCGCAUGGGCAUGGGGCCGGGCCGCUUAUCGCGGCAGCAGAUGUUUUUCCAAGCAUCUGUGGGACAGU